CUACGGAGGGUGCAAGCGUUACUCGGAAUCACUGGGCGUAAAGCGCGCGCAGACGGGCUGAUAAGUUGGAUGUGAAAGCCUACGGCUCAACCGUAGAACUGCAUCCAAAACUGUCAGUCUAGAGUCUGGGAGGGGAAGAUGGAAUUAGUUGUGUAGGGGUAAAAUCCGUAGAGAUAACUAGGAAUACCAAAAGCGAAGGCGAUCUUCUGGAACAGUACUGACGCUGAGGCGCGAAAGCGUGGGGAGCAAACAGGAUUAGAAACCCUAGUAGUCC
This 274-nucleotide ribosomal RNA is filed under the name uncultured bacterium. RNAcentral describes it as "partial 16S ribosomal RNA". It matches the Rfam family "Bacterial small subunit ribosomal RNA", at positions 523 to 796 of the family's 1533-position model. The record is from RNAcentral.